UACAGCCAUUUCACUUUGAAACACCAGUCCCCAUAUGAUCACCAAAGUAAAGCAAUGGUCAGUACUUAGAUGGGUGACCAUUUGGGAAUACCAGGCACUGUAAG
This is a non-coding RNA of Acanthosepion pharaonis, 104 nucleotides long. NCBI's taxonomy places the organism in Eukaryota, Metazoa, Mollusca, Cephalopoda, Sepiida, Sepiidae. The record is from the annotation of a GenBank genome assembly.